CAUUCCUUAUUUCUCCUUCCAGAUCAAUAUCACAACCUUAUGAUAAGGUGUGUCAAGUGGAUGAAGUAUCCAUAUCGAUACCAACAACAGAGUCACAAUCGCUCGGAUCUAGCCCGAGCCAGCAACGACCUGAAAGUUCAAUUAUCCUAAUCGAUGAGUAUGAAGAUGUCGAAGAAGAGGAACUCAAUGCGAAGAGGAAUUUGACGAAUACCAUCCGUCUUGGGAAAUCGACAGUGAUGCCAUUGUCGACGCUGAUGCCGAUGUGGACGGCGACGAGACAACUGAGGACACGGCCUUACUGCACCGACCACACGUACUGCUAUUGUAAUAACACCCAUUAGUCCCGUAAACUCCGCACAUAAUCUCCAAAGUAUGGAUGACCAAAGUAAUGCUCCUACAAUCAAUAAAUCAAAUUUACUAUCGCCGGAUUCCGGAUAGCAAAUGUAAUAUAUUUUUUUAUUAUCGCUUACAAUUUAUACUCUUGUGUUCAAAAGUAACUAAAGUUAAUAAUAAUAAUAAUGAUACAUAAAAAAACAAAACCAACAAACAUAGAAGCGUAAAAUAAUAAAAGCAAAAAUACAUUAUGUACCUACAUACA
Long non-coding RNA from Musca domestica (house fly), 598 nucleotides. RefSeq lists it as uncharacterized. The record is from RefSeq and is a predicted model, not a curated record. NCBI's taxonomy places the organism in Eukaryota, Metazoa, Arthropoda, Insecta, Diptera, Muscidae. The transcript has 3 exons.